Molecule: RNA transcript, 3283 nt
Organism: Mustela lutreola (European mink)
Lineage: Eukaryota; Metazoa; Chordata; Mammalia; Carnivora; Mustelidae
Gene: APTX
Gene name: aprataxin
Exons: 10
Source: RefSeq, a predicted model, not a curated record
CACAGAGGUGGUAGGGAAGCGGCUCUCGUAUAGAGAGAAGUCGUGCUCGUCCCCAAUGGGAUCGCUGUGGGAAACCGCAGUAAGACCUCGGCGCCGGAGGGACCAAUCAGGGCCGACGCUUCCCGAUCCGGGCAUUGGGAGAGACCCUUUCAGCCAAUCUUUGGUCGAUCGCUGGCUUGCUCGUGGCGUCAUCACGCAGCGCCGGAAGUGGUGAAGCUUCCAAGAGUGUCCUGGGUUUGUCUGUGUCCGCGGUCUCGAGAGUAAUGAUGCGGGUGUGCUGGUUGGUGAGACAGGAUAACCGGCACCAGCGAAUCAAACUUCCACAUUUGGAAGCAGUCAUGGUUGGGCGUGGUCCAGAGACCAAGAUCGUUGACAAGAAAUGUUCUCGACAACAAGUACAGUUGAAAGCAGAGUGUAACAAAGGAUAUGUCAAGGUAAAGCAGGUAGGGGUCAAUCCCACCAGCAUUGACUCAGUCAUAAUUGGGAAGGACCAAGAGGUGAAGCUGCAGCCUGGCCAGGUUCUCCACAUGGUGAAUGAACUUUAUCCAUAUAUCGUAGAAUUUGAGGAAGAAGCAGAGAGCCCUGGUCUGGAAACACACAGGAAAAGAAAGAGGUCAGGCAGCAGUGAUUCUAUAGAAAGAGAUGCUGCCCAGGAAGCUGAGUCCUGUACAGGACUGGAACCUGGGAGUGAUCCUAGCCAAUCUGCUCUGCCCUCAAAAAAGGGGAAAGAUGUAUCUACCAAAAAGGAAUCAUUGGGCCACUGGAGUCAAGGCUUGAAAAUUUCUAUGCAGGAUCCCAAAAUGCAGAUUUACAAAGAUGAGCAGGUGGUGGUGAUUAAGGAUAAAUAUCCCAAGGCUCGUCACCAUUGGCUGGUCUUACCAUGGGCUUCCAUUUCCAGUCUGAAGGUUGUGACCAGGGAACACCUUGAGCUCCUCAAACACAUGCACACUGUGGGGGAAAAGAUGAUCACAGAUUUUGCUGGGUCCAGCAAACUCCGCUUCCGAUUGGGUUACCAUGCCAUUCCCAGCAUGAGCCAUGUACACCUUCAUGUGAUCAGCCAGGAUUUUGAUUCUCCUUGCCUUAAAAACAAAAAACAUUGGAAUUCUUUCAAUACAGAAUACUUCCUAGAAUCACAAGCUGUGAUAGAGAUGGUACAGGACACUGGCAGAGUGAGUGUCCGAGAUGGGACGCCUGAGCUCUUGAAGCUGCCUCUCCGUUGUCAUGAGUGUCAGCAGCUGCUGCCUUCCAUUCCUCAGCUGAAAGAGCAUCUCAGGAGGCACUGGCCAAAGUGAUUCCAUGGAGCCUGGACUUUUGCAGCAGACCAUGAAGUUCUUUAGAACAGAUGCUGUUUUUUGGUUCUCCAUCAAGUACUCAAUGAAAUUCAUUGUACCUGGAUCAUAAUAGGAUCCCAAUAAAAUUUGGAGUGGAUGAGACCUCAUGUUUCAUUGAAAGCAUGAAGAAAACAACCCUCUCUGUUGCAGCUGAAUUUAAUUGUCAACUGUGUCUGGAUAAAGGGGAUUCCUUCCUGUUCAAAUCCAACUCCUCACCUUUACCUCAAGUCCAAGAAGGAAGCAUUUGUGUUCUGGGCAGGAGGAUGGAGGAAAAGAGGAAGAAGGGGAUUAAGGACUCACAAAUACUCUCUGAAGAAGUUUCCUGGAAUCUCCUUCAUGACUCUUCUUUUUGUAUUACCAUGGCCAGAAUUCAGCCACAAGCCACAGGUGACCAAGCUUUAAGGGAGGUUGUGAAAUAUAACCUUUAUUUUGGGCAAAUCUAUAUCCAACUAAAAAUUCUAUUAGUACAGAAGCAGCACAGAAUGAAAAUCGGAGAUAGGGAACAGUCUCUGCAGUCUCUGCCAGUGUUCUUUUGCACAUGAAAAAAAUUGAGUUGCCUUUCUCUUUCUUAUUUUUUACUUAUAUUGCAAAUGUUUUACAAAUUUAGAUCUUUUAAUCUUUUAAUUUAGUGUAUGCUAUCUCAUGAUACAGAGGUUUAAAAUUGUUAUGUCACUGAAACAUGCAUUCCUUUUUUUUAAAAAAAAUUCAUUGUUUCUGGAAUUCAUAUUUUGCUUAAAUAGUCCUUCCUUAUCCAUAUGCUCUCAUAUUUUCUUUUACUUUUUAAAAAAACAUUUUAUUUAUUUGAGAAAGAGAGAGAGAGCAUGAGAGGGAGAAGCAGACUCCCUGCUGAGCUGGGAGCCCAAUGUGGGACUCGAACCCAGGACUCUGGGAUCAUGACCUGAGUCAAAGACAGUUGCUUAACCAACUGAACCACCCAGACAUCACUGUUUACAUAUUUUCUUUUGGUACAUUUAUGCCUUUUUUUUUUUUUUUAAACUUUAGGUCUUCAUUAUAUCUGGUAUUUAUAAAUUUUGAUCUAGUGUGACAUAGGGAUCUAUCUAUUUUUUAAAUUUUUAUUUAAUGAACUCCCAACUCAUUUUAAACUAGUCUUCAUUCUCAUUCAUUUGAAGUACCAUAUGUACGGUGAACUAAAUUUUGCUAUGUACACAAGUCUGUUAUGGGCUUCCUAUUCCAUUUCCAUUGAGCUAUUACUAAACUCACACCUCAGUUUUCAUUACCAUAGUUUUGCAGAGUUUCUUUAUUCUUCACUCUUUUUCUUUUUCUCCCCGUUCCUCCUCCUUUCUCCUCUCUACUUCUGUUUCACCUAGCCAGGCUUGUUGGAUGCUCCUAUGAAGACGAGACAAAUGGACAUAGGCUUCCAUCUCUGUUUCCUUCACCGUAGAAUUUUCAUCCUUUUCAUACUCAGCAGCCUCCCAUUUCUUUGCUGCCCGGUGUCACCCCUUCCAGGUCUUGCAUUGUGUGGGAGGCUGGCAUUGGAAGGAUUGCUGCUUUUAGUUGACUUGUUCUUUGUGCUUCCUCCUUUCAAUCCUUUGGAUACCGUGUGUGUAUAAAAUCUGUUUCUCUUUAUCACUAUAUUCUAAAAUUUUCCCUAAGCUCUCUGAAGAUGUAAAAACGAUUGUUAAUCUCAGUAUAUGCGGAGUCACCUCUUUAUUUCCUUUUGUUUAUUUUUUUUUGAUUGCCUGACUGUUUUCUUCAGGAAGGAUGAAACUGUUCUCUGACUCAGUGAGCUGCCGAAUCUCAAAACCAGGUAGCACAUGAGUGUUCUGUGAUGCUCACUGGUUUCAUAUGGCUGUGGAAACCAUUUGCUGCCUCAAGUUUUGGCUGAACUUGUCCUGCAUGCAGAUAAUGAGGAAAUGCUGGGGUGUGGUUCUGCAGGUUGAGAAAUGGGCACACCUCUCCCUAUGGCUCUAUCUCCCCAGGCUCUUUGGGCU